UGGCGCUGGGCCUAGGUAAGCUUGAUUAGUAGCGGAGCGGGCCGUGCUGCCCCAAGGCCGGCCCGGACGUUGCUCAGCUAUAGGUUGGCCCUCAUGAAUUUUUUUUUUGGAUCUGCCGUACAAUGAAAUCCAUAAAAAAAAUCCCGUGGUUUCAAAUCCUAAAAAUCUAACGUGUUGUAUCUAACUAUGAAACGGAAGGAGUAACUCUUUUUUUUUUUAAAGAAACGCAUGCAUUCCAAUGAACUUGCAGACACGGCAAGAUCGCCGGCCGCUAGUCGAGAUACAUCUGGAGGUAGGUUCUCAAGCUACAGUAAAUGUUCAGUUUAGACACGAUAUGAACCCACUGCAGCCAACACAUGUGCUGGUUUGUUACAAACCCGAGCAAC
Molecule: long non-coding RNA, 386 nt
Filed under: Brachypodium distachyon (stiff brome)
Lineage: Eukaryota; Viridiplantae; Streptophyta; Magnoliopsida; Poales; Poaceae
Description: long non-coding RNA (BDIS_LNC004458)
Source: RNAcentral